AUCCCUGAAAGAUGAUCAGGUUGAUAGGUCUGAGGUGGAAGUGUGGCGACACAUGGAGCUGACAGAUACUAAUCGAUCGAGGACUUAACCAUAUUU
This 96-nucleotide ribosomal RNA is filed under the name Bacillus subtilis subsp. subtilis. Its description in RNAcentral is "partial 23S ribosomal RNA". It matches the Rfam family "Bacterial large subunit ribosomal RNA", at positions 2833 to 2925 of the family's 2925-position model. The record is from RNAcentral. Lineage: Bacteria; Bacillati; Bacillota; Bacilli; Caryophanales; Bacillaceae.